This 305-nucleotide ribosomal RNA is filed under the name uncultured bacterium. RNAcentral's name for it is "partial 16S ribosomal RNA". It matches the Rfam family "Bacterial small subunit ribosomal RNA", at positions 508 to 807 of the family's 1533-position model. The record is from RNAcentral.
ACAGCAGUAGCCGCGGUAAUACGGAGGGAGCUAGCGUUGGUCGGAAUUACUGGGCGUAAAGCGCGCGUAGGCGGUUACUCAAGUCAGAGGUGAAAGCCCGGGGCUCAACCCCGGAACUGCCUUUGAAACUAGGUGACUAGAAUCUUGGAGAGGUCAGUGGAAUUCCGAGUGUAGAGGUGAAAUUCGUAGAUAUUCGGAAGAACACCAGUGGCGAAGGCGACUGACUGGACAAGUAUUGACGCUGAGGUGCGAAAGCGUGGGGAGCAAACAGGAUUAGAUACCCCCGUAGUCCCUGUCUCUUAUAC